AGUGGAUCACCAGCCUUUCAACAACCGAUUCUAUCGUCGGAGAAGAAGCCUCCGACGACACAGACGCGAAACGAUCCCGGUAAGUUCCUCUUUUUCUUUCUUUUUCUUGUUAUUUUCGUAUAAAAUAAAAAAUAAAAAAUAAAAAUAAAAGUAGAAUCGGCCCGAUUUGAAACCAAAAUAGAAGUAAAAUCACCUUCAAAGUUUCUUUCUUUUUUAUUUCCAAUCUUUUCAUACAAUAUCCCCCCUUACAUUGUUUGAUUUUGGGCUUAUAUAACCGAAAGAAAAUACAUUUAUUUUUACUGUCUCUGCUCUUUUGUGCUGCUUGUUUCUUCUUUGCGUGCUUGUUUGCAAGUCUUUGGCGAAGGCAGAGGAGUGGCUUGCCGUUUUGGUGCAAGGCUGGCUGGCGGUGGCAGACCUCGGGCGACGAGUACGCUGGAGGCAUAUGGGCAGCAAGCUGCGGCGCGAAGAAAGGAGAGAACCUUAGGGUUCCCUGAUGCUGUUUAAAUUUGGGCCCUAUUAAGCCAUUUAGGGUUUUGGAUUUGGGCCGCUUGGGUUUGUUUGUAAUUUGGACUUUUUUG
RNAcentral lists this long non-coding RNA (578 nucleotides) under Gossypium barbadense (sea-island cotton). Its description in RNAcentral is "long non-coding RNA (GBAR_LNC016297)". The record is from RNAcentral. Lineage: Eukaryota; Viridiplantae; Streptophyta; Magnoliopsida; Malvales; Malvaceae.